Non-coding RNA from Pelecanus crispus (Dalmatian pelican), 785 nucleotides. The record is from RefSeq and is a predicted model, not a curated record. NCBI's taxonomy places the organism in Eukaryota, Metazoa, Chordata, Aves, Pelecaniformes, Pelecanidae.
GCAGGAUGGCCGGCUACAGCGUGGAGGAGCGCGCCAUGCCUCACAGCCUGGAAUACUGGCUUUUUUUUCAAGGACGCUGCCGGCCGCUACAUCUCCCCUUUCCAUGAUAUCCCCAUCUAUGCGGAUGCUGGCAAGAAUGUGUUCAACAUGGUUGUGGAAGUACCUCGAUGGACAAAUGCUAAAAUGGAGAUUGCAAUAAAGGAUCCCUUAAACCAAUUAAGCAAGAUAUCAAGAAAGGAAAACUACGCUACGUAGCAAACGUGUUUCCCCAUAAGGGUUGUAUCUGGAAUUACGGUGCUAUCCCACAGACUUGGGAAGACCCAAGUCACAAAGACGAAAAUACUGGCUGUUGUGGAGAUAACGAUCCGAUUGAUGUGUGCGAAAUUGGAAUCAAGGUCUGCUCUCGAGGAGAAGUCAUCGAAGUGAAGGCGCCGGGCAUGGUUGUGCUGAUCGAUGAGGGAGGACGGACUGGAAAAUAAUCGCUAUCAACAUUGAAGACCCUGAAGUGGACGACUAUGAUAUCAAUGAUGUCAGAAGGAUGAAACCCGGAUACUUAGAAGCUACAGUGGACUGGUUCAGAAGAUACAAAGUACCUAAUGGAAAGCCAGAAAACCAGUUUGCUUUUAAUGGCGAAUUUAAAGACAAGGAUUUUGUGGUGAACGUCAUCAAAAGCACUCAUGAACACUGGAAAGCUUUGCUUGCAAAGAAAACUGAUGGAGGGGAGAUCAACUGCACAAAUCUGACGGUAUCUGACAGCCCUUUCUACCCUUUCGUUCAAAAAACGG